GUGGGUAACCUACCCUGUACACACGGAUAACAUACCGAAAGGUAUGCUAAUACGGGAUAAUAUAUUUGAGAGGCAUCUCUUAAAUAUCAAAGGUGAGCCAGUACAGGAUGGACCCGCGUCUGAUUAGUUAGUUGGUAAGGUAACGGCUUACCAAGGCGACGAUCAGUAGCCGACCUGAGAGGGUGAUCGGCCACAUUGGAACUGAGACACGGUCCAAACUCCUACGGGAGGCAGCAG
Molecule: ribosomal RNA, 237 nt
Filed under: Clostridioides difficile
Lineage: Bacteria; Bacillati; Bacillota; Clostridia; Peptostreptococcales; Peptostreptococcaceae
Description: partial 16S ribosomal RNA
Rfam family: Bacterial small subunit ribosomal RNA
Source: RNAcentral